RNAcentral lists this long non-coding RNA (1294 nucleotides) under Prunus dulcis (almond). RNAcentral describes it as "sRNA ncRNA". Lineage: Eukaryota; Viridiplantae; Streptophyta; Magnoliopsida; Rosales; Rosaceae. The record is from RNAcentral.
AGUCCUUUUUUAUCUUAGUUUUUGGUCAAAAGUGUAAGCUUUUCCAUCUCACACCUUUCUCUCUUUCUCUCCAUCCCUCCAUCUCUUAAAUUGCAUCGAGAUCUGGGGACUUGGGAUGUCCGCGGCCUUGAGUUGGCAUUUGGGUUCAGCGAUGAGGCUUGGGAGGUCGAUGAUACAUCCACACCUCUCUCUCUUAGCUAUAUGGAUGUGAAUAGUGGGAUUGUAAUAUUGGGUUGUGUUUUGGUGUGGAAGGAAGUUGGGGGUUUGGUUUUCUUUUGUGGAGAUACUUGGUGGGGAAUAUGGGUGUUGGAUUUUUUGUGGUUGUGGAGAUGACAGUGUGAAGCUAGGGUUGGGGGUAUUUUGGUUGGAGCGCAAGAAGAUCUUCUGGGUCUGUAAAAUAGGGAGCUGGGUUUGUGGGGUUUUGGGUUGAGAUGGUAGCUUUGAGGGAGUGAGGAAGGCGAACAAGUUGCAGAGAGAGGAUGAGGAGAGCAAGUUGCAGAGAGAGAACAACUCUAGAAAAUCCACGAGGAACGACACUUGGGAGGCUCGAACUCGCGAUGACGAGGAUAGAGCAUGUAAUUAUUUGAAACAAAUAAGAGCAACAUGGGCAAUUUGAAAAUUUCAUUAAAUUCCUCAGCAUGCUUCUCUGUGCAUCAGAUUUUAGAAGCAGGUUGCAAGCUGCUUCGUGUUUUCGGCUGUGGAUGACAGCAGAUUUUAAAAUAAGCGGCUUGGAUUGGUUUUACCAAACGCUCAAAUCUCCAAAACUUCUUUUCAAAGCUGCUUAUUUUUUAAGCACAGUAACCCCAAACCAAGUCUUAGUGUUCAUUUGGCAUUGCUUAUUUUGGGUGAUAAGUGAUUUUAAAAAAAAUUUGGGAAGUCUAUCUCGUUUGGUAAACUACGAGAAAAUAAUUUAUUGUUAAAAAUUGCUGUGAAAGAAAGCUAUAAGGGAAAAUAGCUAAUGAGGUGUUUUCAUUUUCUGAUUAUGCAUGAAUCAGUUUCGAAGAGGCGUCGGGUUUAAUGAUUAUACAACAAUUAUUUUCUGAUUAUACUAGAAUUAGUACUAACAACACUUUUAACAAAAAGUUUACCAAACGCCAGAAUGUUUUCUCGCACAGCUGAUUUUUUUCACAGUAAAUCUGACAGCGAUUAUUUUUACAACACAGCAAUGUCAAACUAGUCCUUAGUGUUGGAUGUUUAGUUGCACCACAACACAAUCUGUUAUUAAUAGCACUUCAGCAUAGCGUUUUUACAGAAGUGCUAUAAAAGAUAGGGACUUGACCCCAAAAAAAAAAAA